UAAGCCUACGGGGCGCAGCAGUGAGGAAUAUUGGUCAAUGGACGCAAGCCUGAACCAGCCAAGUAGCGUGCAGGAUGACGGUCCUCCGGGUUGUAAACUGCUUUUAGUUGGGAAUAAAAGGGGGCUCGUGAGCCCCGUAUUGUAUGUACCAUCAGAAAAAGGACCGGCUAAUUCCGUGCCAGCAGCCGCGCUAAUACGGAAGGUCCGGGCGUUAUCCGGAUUUAUUGGGCUUAAAGGGAGCGUAGGCCGGCUUUUAAGUCAGCUGUGAAAGCCCGCGGCUCAACCGGGGAAUUGCAGUUGAAACU
Molecule: ribosomal RNA, 305 nt
Filed under: uncultured bacterium
Lineage: Bacteria
Description: bacterial SSU rRNA
Rfam family: Bacterial small subunit ribosomal RNA
Source: RNAcentral